Long non-coding RNA from Pipra filicauda (Wire-tailed manakin), 505 nucleotides. RefSeq lists it as uncharacterized. The transcript is spliced from 3 exons. The record is from RefSeq and is a predicted model, not a curated record. NCBI's taxonomy places the organism in Eukaryota, Metazoa, Chordata, Aves, Passeriformes, Pipridae.
GCCUCGGAAUCCCAAAGCCUUUCCCCGUGCAGGGUUACGAGGCGAAGACUGGUCUCAGUUUCUUGGUGCUGCAUUAAUGCUUUUUGCUCGUUCUGUGUCAGUUUGCAGCCUGGCUCGUGGUUUCCCCUGGUGCUGGGGAGUGGAGGCGAGUUGUGCUUCCUGCUGGGAGAGAGAAGGGCCUUGGGAAGCUGCUCCAUGAGCCACAGCUGUGCCGAGCCCGGGAGUCUGUCCAGCAGGAUGUGGAGUGCCACCAUGUCCCCGAGGUCACCCUUUCUGCUGUUGGGAGAGCACGAGGUGGAUGGAGAGGAUCCCCAGGCAUCUGCAGGCACAAGGGACUCGUACAACUGCGAUUUUCCUCCAGCCCUCGUGAGAGGGACUUUUAGGAUCCUCUUGGGAAUGUGCCAGUUCUCCUGCUGGAGCUUUUCUAUGGAAUAUUUGAACACAAAGAGUAAAACUAAAGUCAGGGAAUAACUCCUGUCAGCAGCAAGGUCCCCACUGAAGUGGC